RNAcentral lists this ribosomal RNA (324 nucleotides) under Triticum aestivum (bread wheat). RNAcentral describes it as "partial small subunit ribosomal RNA". Lineage: Eukaryota; Viridiplantae; Streptophyta; Magnoliopsida; Poales; Poaceae. The record is from RNAcentral.
AUGGUCGACUGGUGGCCGAGGUCGUACCUGAGUAGGCGAGGGGGCGCGCCCAACGCGCGGCGAAGGGAUGGUCGCGCCGCAGAGGAAGAGGCCCUCGCCGGAGCAGCGCGGAGAAGAGAAGCGGACGAGCGGAGCAUCGACCUGGCGGCGGCGGCGGCCAUCGUGGCUGGCUUGGUGAGACGGGAGGAGGAGAGGGGAGAUGGUUUCCGGCUAGCUUGCGCUCGAGUCACACAAACUGAAGGAACCAAUGUGGGUGGGCCUUUCAUAGGUCUGCUCGGUCCAUUUCUUCUUGGGCUGUGUGAGAAGGGCCCAAUGGGCUCUUAA